UGCAUUCGUUUGUGGCUGUGUUUCCGCAGGUAGCACCGACGUGUGCGCCACGGAGGUAGCAACGACACAGCGGUCACACAUCCUCCGCCAUGCGGUGCUUGCGCCGCUGCUGGGGCCCCUGGCCAUCAGCGCCCUCCUCGUGCUGGCGGCUGUGGUCGCUGGAUGCCGUCAUGAGCGCGCCACAGGCGUCGGUGGAGGGGCUGCUGGUUCAGGUGCGACAGCAGGCAGCAACGUCGCCAGUCUGGAGUGUCGACUUCAGUGCGUUGCUCGAGCGCUGCUUCACCGUCGGGUGCCACUCCCCUCAAUCGCGGGCGCAACUCAUGGGCCGCGUGGCCGCCACCCUCGCCACCGUAUUGAGUGCCAGUGAGGCGCCUUCUGUGACGGCGCUCAGCGUUACACUGCCCACACCAGAGGCGGCCAUAACGGUGAUGCAGCUAUGCCAAAACACUCCCCUUCUCGCCUCCCUAGAGUCAUUGGAACUCGUGGUGGACGUGGCAGCCGUGCGCAGCCGGCAGGAGGGCAUGGAAGGCACGGGUGGGCACGAGGUGGCGUCGCUGCUGCGGGAGCUGGCCGCGCAUCAGCGGCGCAGAGCUGGUCAGUCUCACUGGACGUCACUCAGCGUCCGGUCGCGCGACACAAGUGCGCCCGGCGUCUUCACCGUGGGCUUGCACGCGCAACCACAGCACCACGUCGUGCCGCGGCUGUGGGACGACGUCAUGGUAAGUGCCUUGGCGGAGCUCGUGGCAGCAGCGCCGUGGGCUCGGGUGGCGUUUUGUCAUGCUGACCUCACCCCUAGCAGUUACCGGGCUCGUCAACGGCUUUGGGCAUCGUUCGACAGCGUUCACGCAUCGCUCGCCGUACUGGACUUGACUGGAGUGCGGCACGCUCACGAGCUCGUUGCUUCCCGGCAGCUGCGCCACCUAACCCGUCUCUCCUCCCUCGAUGUCGGCCACACGCAGCUCGAGGAGGACGCCGUGCAAUGCUUGUUGAGGGACGUGCAGGAUGGCGUCGGUGGGUGGUGGCUGCUGCAGCAUCUGGGCUUGGCGCAGUGCGAGGUGAGCGAGGCCGUCGUAACGCUCCUACACGAUCAACACGAGCAGCACGCGAGAAACAAGGUGCCGUUGCUGGAGUCUUUCAGCGUGUCAGGCGCCCGCCUGUCGUGUCGGGCCGCCUUCGUCAUGGCAAUGUGUCUGAUGCAGUGCACGCGACUGCGACUCCUUCAGACGCGUAACUGCCACCUUCAACCCGCCUCUCUCGAGAGCAUGGCAGCGGCCCUGCGGCACGCCCCAGGGCUGCAAGCAUGGGUUCUGUGCCUCAACAAGUUCGGCGACGAAGGAGUCGCGGCGCUCACCAAGCACGCGCGGUGCUGGCCCUCACUCACAGAUAUGGAUCUCUCGCGGUGCCGGCUAACCUGUGCAAGCGUCCACACCCUCAGCCGCGCGCUUCCCCACUGGAGCAAGCUGCAGUCGUUGCGGCUGGUGGGCAACGACUUGCGGUGGCAGUCACCGCAGACACUGUCUUCGGCGUCGUCGAGCAGAGUGGAAGGCAGCGAGAACGGGAGGGAAACGGCUGGCCUCUUCGCCUACGACCCAGCCUACAUGAAGGGCCACGGCAGCAGUGUGAAGGUGCCCACCUCCUACGAGCUCGAGCGGCGUGAUCGGAAGGAGGGCCGCCAGCGCUACAAGGGAACGGAAGAGUUCACCGAGGCGGCGGCGCCGAUCGCUCCGCCGCUAGAGGUGCUUGGCGAAGCGCUUUCCAUGUGCUCGCAGCUGCGGGUGCUGGACUUGAGCGACAGCGCCAUGGCGGACGCGCAGCUUGUGCAGCUCGUCACCCACUUCACUGGGGCUGCGCUGGAGGAGUUGCGACUGGCUGCCAACCCUCUCUUCGCCACUGUGCCAGCGCUUGACGCACUGAUCAAGCUGCUGUGGCGCACGCCCAGCCUCUCCGUGUUGGACCUGUCCUUCACCGGACUCGGCGACCUAGGCGUAUCGAUGAUGUGCGACGGGACUGCUGGAAGAGACGGCGGUGUGCUCAAGUCCAUGUCUAGGUUGCACACGCUGCUACUGUCUGGCUGCGCCGUCGAGUCGCUUGGUUGGGAGUCACUGGCAGCGGCGGUGAGUCAGCUCACGUCGCUACGCCACCUUGCCCUGCACCACAAUCGCGUGUCCAAAGUGGCACUGCUCGAGGAGCUGUUGUGCCAACUCGUCACGGUGUCCUCCCUUCAGUCCGUGAACCUAGCGGGGUGUGUGGACUCUACCGAGUCGGUGCGCCGCCUGCAAGACGGUGCGGUAUGCCGCGCCCUCCGCGACCGCGGAGUGCAAGUGCUCCUCUGACGCUGCCGACGAAAAGGGCGUAUGCACCGUGGCGAGGGGCGAGGAGCUGGUGGUGCUUGUGAGAGGAACGCUCUCUGCUGACUCACUCGUGCGUCACGCAAGGCAACGUGGCGCGCUAAGCACGAGCGUGUGCCUUGGAGGAGACGUAGAAGCGCUCAGAAAUACAGCUUUAGACACUGGCACGCUCCCAUCGAUGGCGGGGGCAACGUGGCCGAACGAAACGGUCGGCGGAGUGGCAAGCAGCGGUGUGCACACGUAUGCUCUGCAUGUGAGUGCGCGCGCGUAAGCCCGCCAUGCGUGCUUGCGUUCUUGCGUGCAUCGCAGCUCUCCUGCCCUCCGCCUUCUCCUCUCUCUUCAUUAUUCAUCAGUAUGGUAUGCAAACACCCGCCGCUUCCGACACGCGCGCACUCCGCCUCGUCCUCGCUUUCCCUCUUACGCCAUCACCAACACCGCUACAUGGUGCUCUGGAUACCACGUUCUUGUGCAUGGCCACGUGUGCGCACAUGCGUGGGUGGCUGGGCGUGGAUAGAUGGCGAUGGGCUCCUCCGCUUAUGAGGCUCCGCUGAGAGAAAUCUGUGUGUGUGUGUGUGUGUGUGUGUGUGCAGGCUCCCUCCCCUCCCCCUCUUCCACUAUCAGUCCGUGCGUCCUCUUCUGCUUUGUGGCACCUGUGUGGCACGUCUUUGUGGCGACGAUCGUGAUAGUCGUUGGCCUGUGCCUGUGCCGGUGGAUCUCCGAGUGGCACACAACUCUGUUCUGUAAGGCGCCUUUAUUGAGGCCUCGUGAAGGUGGUAGGUGGGGGGCGCUCUCGAGGCACACACACACACACGCACACGCACAUGUGGGCGCACCGCUGACGUGUUCCUCUCCCUCUUUUCUUCGCCUCCGCCGCGCGUGUGUACGUGUGCGUGCCUCUCUCUCACUGUCGACAGCUACGUAGCACGUAAG
This 3278-nucleotide unclassified non-coding RNA is filed under the name Leishmania donovani. RNAcentral's name for it is "gene:LdHU3.21.0220(CDS-product:Leucine_Rich_repea t_putative)". The record is from RNAcentral. Lineage: Eukaryota; Euglenozoa; Kinetoplastea; Trypanosomatida; Trypanosomatidae.